RNAcentral lists this long non-coding RNA (567 nucleotides) under Homo sapiens (human). Its description in RNAcentral is "HSALNT0399780". Lineage: Eukaryota; Metazoa; Chordata; Mammalia; Primates; Hominidae. The record is from RNAcentral.
GAAUUUCAAUAGAGCAAGUUGAUUAUAAUGCUGUUCAGGCAAAUCCCAGGAUCUGCAGUAUGAGUUCGAAAGCUGGAGACCCUGGAGAGUCAAAGGUUUAGUUCCAGUCUGAAGGCCAGGAAGCUCAAGACUCAGGAGGAGCUGCGGUUUCAGUUCAAGUCCAGAAGCAGGAAAAUUUCUCUUACUUGGGAGAAGAUUUGCCUUUUGUUCUACUCAGGCUUUCAAUUGAUUUGAUGAGACCCACCCACAUGAGGGAGGACAAUCUCCUUUCCUCAAUCUGCUGGUUUAAAUGCACUGAAACAGUCAUUGUUUUGGCAAUUCCCUUUAGUGGAGGAAAUAAAAUGAGCCAUAUUGUGGGGAAGGUGGGGCUGUGUUUCCAAGAUCAUCAGCUUAGGCAAAAAUUGUGCAAACAAGAUUCACUGUGUCCAGACUACCAACAGUUUUAUUUUUCUCCUGUCUUAUGACUCCCGUUUUUGCCUUUGUUUCCUGGCUCAUUCUACCAACUGACUCCUCAUGUGAGUAAACAAUAUGAGUGCAAAAUAAACUAAUAAGCAUGCUGCAAAAUAA